Non-coding RNA from Ciona intestinalis (vase tunicate), 874 nucleotides. The record is from RefSeq and is a predicted model, not a curated record. NCBI's taxonomy places the organism in Eukaryota, Metazoa, Chordata, Ascidiacea, Phlebobranchia, Cionidae.
UAAAGUAUAAAUAACAAUUGACAAUAUUACGUACAAAAGUUCUUUUCUAGAAACACCGAUGGUGUGACGUCACGAAGUAGAAGAACCCACUUAAUUUUGGUAUGUGACGUCACAGAUGAUCAAGCGGACCAUGGCGCGAAAAUGGAAUGAAGAAAAGUCUGCGAAUAAAGCUGCAGAAGAAAAGCGCAAGACGAAGAAAAAAGACGAAGACGCCGAUAAUGGAUACGCGGUUUGGGAUUUUUAAUUGAGUUGCGUGUGUGUCUGUCUGCACUGCUGUAUUAUUAUUAUGCUGGAUCUAAUGUUGCCAGCUAUUUUUAGUCAGUCACUACUAUAGUGCAUUUUGAAUGUCAUUGAAACAUUUUCGAAUGAAACCAUGGCAAAAUUCUAGCUGGAUCAGAUUUUUUUGCUAUGUUGGUACAAAAAUACUCUAGUAAUAUCAACACAACAUUCCUAUAAAAGUGAUAAAAGUUCAUUUAUAUACUCGUAGGUAAACCUUUUUACGCGACUAAACUUGAAUCAAACGUCAUGUAGCGCGAUUGGGGCGAUGGCCACGUCACAAUUUCGCUACGACGUCUAUACGGUGGGUCAUAGCAUUGUCAUGACCCUGCGUUCGGCGCGGUUACAUCAGUUUUGAUUUAAGUUUCUUAACGGUCGGGUUGUUGCUUGUACGUCACCGCCAGUGAUGCUACGCUGGAACUUCGGUCACUGUCAAUGCGGUUCGUGUAACAACCCACCGAAGUUUUGUAACGGUCGAUGCGGUGCGUAACACUCAAACGUUAUAAUAUUGUGUGAUGACACGACGUGUGUAUCGCGGUACAAACAUGGCGACUUACCCUUUGAUUAGAAACUGCGGACCUUGUGGUCAAACAUUUAA